GAACGCUGGCGGCAGGCCUAACACAUGCAAGUCGAGCGGUAACAGGAAUUAGCUUGCUAAUUUGCUGACGAGCGGCGGACGGGUGAGUAAUGCCUGGGAAUAUGCCUUAGUGUGGGGGAUAACUAUUGGAAACGAUAGCUAAUACCGCAUAACGUCUUCGGACCAAAGAGGGGGACCUUCGGGCCUCUCGCGCUAAGAUUAGCCCAGGUGGGAUUAGCUAGUUGGUGAGGUAAAGGCUCACCAAGGCAACGAUCCCUAGCUGGUCUGAGAGGAUGAUCAGCCACACUGGAACUGAGACACGGUCCAGACUCCUACGGGAGGCAGCAGUGGGGAAUAUUGCACAAUGGGGGAAACCCUGAUGCAGCCAUGCCGCGUGUAUGAAGAAGGCCUUCGGGUUGUAAAGUACUUUCAGUCGUGAGGAAGGCAUUGUAGUUAAUAGCUGCAGUGCUUGACGUUAGCGACAGAAGAAGCACCGGCUAACUCCGUG
This 487-nucleotide ribosomal RNA is filed under the name uncultured bacterium. Its description in RNAcentral is "bacterial SSU rRNA". It matches the Rfam family "Bacterial small subunit ribosomal RNA", at positions 31 to 507 of the family's 1533-position model. The record is from RNAcentral.